Cephus cinctus (wheat stem sawfly) is the source of this 834-nucleotide long non-coding RNA. RefSeq lists it as uncharacterized. The record is from RefSeq and is a predicted model, not a curated record. The transcript is spliced from 3 exons. Lineage: Eukaryota; Metazoa; Arthropoda; Insecta; Hymenoptera; Cephidae.
AAGAUGGCGGUACGACGUCUUGUUAUUCGUCGUUCCGUCUAAUUAAGUCACUUCAGUGCGAAUGAAUCAUCAACCACAAUGUCCCAUGGUGUCCCAUGAUGUCCUAUGGCGUGUCUCAUGGUGCGUGACUAUGCGUGACCACUUAACUCUUGUCGACUAACCAAGCGAGCAUGAUUAUUAUACCUGUGUCAGCACCCCAUAGGAAGUUAUUGUGCAAGCGGACUACGGAACAGACAUAACAGAUAAACCGUCCCAUAUGGCCGUCAGUACAGAGUCCUGUAUAGCCAUAGCCCUAGCUAUGGCGUACUGUAUUCCUGUUCGUACGCCAUGCCCUAGCUGCUUCUGUCAUUCUCGUGCUUCGCAACACCAUAAAUCAUGGGGUUUGACGUCACGCGAAUUUCGCGAGGGAGUUGCUGCGUAUCGCGGUGGGUAUUACCAGUGACGCCAAAAGCUCUCAUGACACACCCGUAACUGAUGUACAAAUCUGAGAGAAUAAUCGAGUGAUCGUUAAAGUGUAAAAUUAAACACUUGCGCUGGAAAGACGUGCCAUGCACGUCGAGGUGUUUCUGUAGCAUUUUGUCACGCGGAUCUCAAUUCGUUAUAUUCGAAAUAACGAUCGGACUGGUCGUAUCGUAAAUAAGCAAGUACUUUGAAGUUGAAUUAUUAUUCUCUCUCUCUCAUAUUUGGGGUGUAGAGCUCAACUAGAGAGCACAAGGGUUGAACCGUCCUCGACAAGACGCUUUUGAUGUGGUAGCUGGUACCUAGCUUGGACUUUCAACUGGUUCUCGUUAUAACAGUAUGUGCACAGUUUACGCAUCUGCAGGCGCUUUUAUC